GAUGAACGCUGGCGGUGUGCUUAACACCUGCAAGUCGAACGAAGCACCUUAUUCUGAUUUCUUCGGAAUGAAAAAUUUGGUGACUGAGUGGCGGACGGGUGAGUAACGCGUGGGUAACCUGCCUCAUACAGGGGGAUAACAGUUAGAAAUGACUGCUAAUACCGCAUAAGACCACAGCACCGCAUGGUGCAGGGGGAAAAACUCCGGUGGUAUGAGAUGGACCCGCGUCUGAUUAGGUAGUUGGUGGGGUAACGGCCUACCAAGCCGACGAGCAGUAGCCGACCUGAGGGGGUGACCGGCCACAUUGGGACUGAGACACGGCCCAAACUCCUACGGGAGGCAGCAGUGGGGAAUAUUGCACAAUGGGGGAAACCCUGAUGCAGCUACGCCGCGUGAGCGAUGAAGUAUUUCGGUAUGUAAAGCUCUAUCAGCAGGGAAGAAAAUGACGGUACCUGACUAAGAAGCACCGGCUAAAUACGUGCCAGCCGCCGCCGUAA
RNAcentral lists this ribosomal RNA (497 nucleotides) under uncultured bacterium. RNAcentral describes it as "partial 16S ribosomal RNA". It matches the Rfam family "Bacterial small subunit ribosomal RNA", at positions 28 to 523 of the family's 1533-position model. The record is from RNAcentral.